This 679-nucleotide ribosomal RNA is filed under the name Lactobacillus delbrueckii subsp. bulgaricus. Its description in RNAcentral is "bacterial SSU rRNA". It matches the Rfam family "Bacterial small subunit ribosomal RNA", at positions 89 to 754 of the family's 1533-position model. Lineage: Bacteria; Bacillati; Bacillota; Bacilli; Lactobacillales; Lactobacillaceae. The record is from RNAcentral.
ACGCUAGCGGCGGAUGGGUGAGUAACACGUGGGCAAUCUGCCCUAAAGACUGGGAUACCACUUGGAAACAGGUGCUAAUACCGGAUAACAACAUGAAUCGCAUGAUUCAAGUUUGAAAGGCGGCGUAAGCUGUCACUUUAGGAUGAGCCCGCGGCGCAUUAGCUAGUUGGUGGGGUAAAGGCCUACCAAGGCAAUGAUGCGUAGCCGAGUUGAGAGACUGAUCGGCCACAUUGGGACUGAGACACGGCCCAAACUCCUACGGGAGGCAGCAGUAGGGAAUCUUCCACAAUGGACGCAAGUCUGAUGGAGCAACGCCGCGUGAGUGAAGAAGGUUUUCGGAUCGUAAAGCUCUGUUGUUGGUGAAGAAGGAUAGAGGCAGUAACUGGUCUUUAUUUGACGGUAAUCAACCAGAAAGUCACGGCUAACUACGUGCCAGCAGCCGCGGUAAUACGUAGGUGGCAAGCGUUGUCCGGAUUUAUUGGGCGUAAAGCGAGCGCAGGCGGAAUGAUAAGUCUGAUGUGAAAGCCCACGGCUCAACCGUGGAACUGCAUCGGAAACUGUCAUUCUUGAGUGCAGAAGAGGAGAGUGGAAUUCCAUGUGUAGCGGUGGAAUGCGUAGAUAUAUGGAAGAACACCAGUGGCGAAGGCGGCUCUCUGGUCUGCAACUGACGCUGAGGCUC